Molecule: long non-coding RNA, 1336 nt
Organism: Chiroxiphia lanceolata (lance-tailed manakin)
Lineage: Eukaryota; Metazoa; Chordata; Aves; Passeriformes; Pipridae
Exons: 3
Source: RefSeq, a predicted model, not a curated record
UGUGGAACAAGAGGCAAAUAUAAAUAGCAGUUGAAGUGAAAAGUCCAAGCUAUUUUGCAUGUACUUUUUAAUAAGGGUCAAUUUUAUUUCAAGCUCCUGGGAUGACCUUUAAAGUUUUCUUUAAGGUUUUCUAUAUGUUUCGGGACAGGAUGACAAGGAAAUGACAGGGGAGCUGACAGCUCUAUUAACUGCAGGAAAAGGAUGGGCGAGAGCUGUGUUGAAUCACCUCUGGAUAACAAGCUGGAUUUCAGAAUGCAGCCCCAAUUCUUGCAGGACAAAUCACGACGUGACAGGAAGAAUUAGAAAGGCACCCCUCAGGAGCACAUACAUUCCAGUUCCAUACCUUCUACAUGCUGGCCUGGAACCUCAGCUUUACAAAGCACAUGAACCUUUGACCAGGGUAAUUUCAGAUAAACUGCAACAACUGAAAACUUUGCAAAGCAAAAGCCCUCCUGCAUUCCAGGAGGUGAGAAAGUGUUCAGCACUAACACCUACACAAGUGACGAUCACCAGGAGGUUGGACUGAUUUGCAGUGACUUCUGCUCAUGGACCUUUUGGAUGCCUGAGUCGAACAGGAUGUUGCAAAUUAGAACCUGCUCACAACUUUGUCAAUGGAUUAGGACAAAACAAGCAGCGCACAUUUUAAGAAGACUGGAUAUUAUAUUAAUGACAAGUCCACCAGAGUAUGAACAAGCUGCUGCAGUUUAAUAAAAAGCAGAAUUUCCUAGACUCGCAUAAACUAUUAGCUCAUUGACUAAAAUAGACCUACUGUCUCUGUUUGCUGUAGAAGCCCAGCUGCUCUGCUGAUCUCAACAAAAGAACAAUUGCAGCUACAAUAAAAACCCUGGGAUCUUGAAAAACAUGGGACGAUAUCAGCUGUUAAACAGGAUAGAAAUAACACAGCAGUGAAACUAAUAAAUAAAUACAAACAGGUUCAAGGUGUUCUCUUCAGAAACACUGUCCUAUGGGUUAUAGAUCUGAAGAUUAGCUUUUAACAGUUCUGACAUACAAGGAACCCAUGCAAGCACUUACACAUCUCCCCUGUGUAAGUGCUUCAGUUCUUGUUCCUGGCUACAUAAAUCACAGGCAGGGUAAACGCAUUACGAGUAAAGAGAAGGAAAUAAUAUGAUCUCCUAGCAGACACUGGGAGCAACAGCUUUUCACUUACGUGCCAAAAUGCCACACAGCUAUUAGUAUGGAACAAGAUACGCCUUCUUUUAGAAACAGUCUAUAGCAAAUUCACAUUUUAUCUACUAAAUCCUUGGCUUCUUACAGUCUUUUAGCACAUUUCUCCUAAUAACAUCCCUCUCAAGACUAGACCGUGCUUUUCUGCUUU